RNAcentral lists this unclassified non-coding RNA (240 nucleotides) under soil metagenome. RNAcentral describes it as "partial contains 5.8S ribosomal RNA, internal transcribed spacer 2, and large subunit ribosomal RNA". The record is from RNAcentral.
AACUGAUACUACCUGCGGGAACCUGCGGAGGGAUCAUUACCGAGUUAGGGUAGUCACUCACUGCCCGACCUCCCAACCCUGUGUCUACCACACUUUGUCGUUGCCUCGGCGGACCGGUUGACCAACUGGUCGUGACCGCCGGGGGCUGGCUCUGUCCCCCCUGGAGAGCGUCCGUCGAUGGCCCAACCACAAAACUCUUGUACCGAAACGUGUCGUCUGAAUUAUAUUUGAGAAAUCAAA